Molecule: ribosomal RNA, 386 nt
Filed under: Opisthokonta sp.
Lineage: Eukaryota
Description: partial small subunit ribosomal RNA
Rfam family: Eukaryotic small subunit ribosomal RNA
Source: RNAcentral
AUUCCUUCUCCAGGAGCGUAUAUUAAAGUUGAUGCAGUUAAAAAGCUUGUAGUUUGGGGUGGGUGUGGCCUGUGCGGGUGCGCGCAAGCGUUGCCUGCGGGGGGUGCGCCUUUCUUGGGGAGGGGUUGUGGGGGGCAUUUGGUUGCCCUUUGGAACCGCCCCGGCUUUACUUUGAAAAAAUUGGAGUGUUCAAAGCGGGUUUCGCCUGAACAGAUUAGCAUGGAAUAAUGGAAGAGGACUUUAGUGCUGUUUUGUUGGUUUCCGGUGUCGAGGUAAUGAUGAAUAGGGACAGUUGGGGGCAUUCGUAUUUAGUUGUCAGAGGUGAAAUUCUUGGAUUUGCUACAGACGAACAUCUGCGAAAGCAUCUGCCAAGGAUGUUUUCAUCG